GACGAACGCUGGCGGCGUGCUUAACACAUGCAAGUCGAACGGAAAGGCCCUGCUUUUGUGGGGUGCUCGAGUGGCGAACGGGUGAGUAACACGUGAGUAACCUGCCCUUGACUUUGGGAUAACUUCAGGAAACUGGGGCUAAUACCGGAUAGGAGCUCCUGCUGCGUGGUGGGGGUUGGAAAGGUUCGGCGGUUGGGGAUGGACUCGCGGCUUAUCAGCUUGUUGGUGGGGUAGUGGCUUACCAAGGCUUUGACGGGUAGCCGGCCUGAGAGGGUGACCGGCCACAUUGGGACUGGGAUACGGCCCAGACUCCUACGGGAGGCAGCAGUGGGGAAUAUUGCACAAUGGGCGGAAGCCUGAUGCAGCAACGCCGCGUGCGGGAUGACGGCCUUCGGGUUGUAAACCGCUUUCGCCUGUGACGAAGCGUGAGUGACGGUAAUGGGUAAAGAAGCACCGGCUAACUACGUG
This 468-nucleotide ribosomal RNA is filed under the name uncultured bacterium. RNAcentral's name for it is "partial 16S ribosomal RNA". It matches the Rfam family "Bacterial small subunit ribosomal RNA", at positions 28 to 507 of the family's 1533-position model. The record is from RNAcentral.